GUCUAUGGCCAUACCACCCUGAACAUGCCCCAUCUCGUCUGAUCUCAGAAGCUAAUAAGCAGGGUCGGAUCUGGUUAGUACCUGGAAGGAAGAAAGUAAAAUACUAUCUAGAUU
Molecule: ribosomal RNA, 114 nt
Organism: Ursus americanus (American black bear)
Lineage: Eukaryota; Metazoa; Chordata; Mammalia; Carnivora; Ursidae
Source: Ensembl